UGGGGCGUGGCCAAGAGGUAAGGCAACGGGUUUUGGUCCCGCUAUUCGGAGGUUCGAAUCCUUCCGUCCCAG
RNAcentral lists this transfer RNA (72 nucleotides) under Ixora parviflora. RNAcentral describes it as "tRNA-Gln". It matches the Rfam family "tRNA". Rfam says of the family: Transfer RNA (tRNA) molecules are approximately 80 nucleotides in length. Their secondary structure includes four short double-helical elements and three loops (D, anti-codon, and T loops). Lineage: Eukaryota; Viridiplantae; Streptophyta; Magnoliopsida; Gentianales; Rubiaceae. The record is from RNAcentral. RNAcentral also lists the same sequence under 3 other names.